Molecule: ribosomal RNA, 468 nt
Filed under: uncultured bacterium
Lineage: Bacteria
Description: partial 16S ribosomal RNA
Rfam family: Bacterial small subunit ribosomal RNA
Source: RNAcentral
GACGAACGCUGGCGGCGUGCUUAACACAUGCAAGUCGAACGGAAAGGCCCUGCUUUUGUGGGGUGCUCGAGUGGCGAACGGGUGAGUAACACGUGAGUAACCUGCCCUUGACUUUGGGAUAACUUCAGGAAACUGGGGCUAAUACCGGAUAGGAGCUCCUGCUGCAUGGUGGGGGUUGGAAAGUUUCGGCGGUUGGGGAUGGACUCGCGGCUUAUCAGCUUGUUGGUGGGGUAGUGGCUUACCAAGGCUUUGACGGGUAGCCGGCCUGAGAGGGUGACCGGCCACAUUGGGACUGAGGUACGGCCCAGACUCCUACGGGAGGCAGCAGUGGGGAAUAUUGCACAAUGGGCGGAAGCCUUAUGCAGCAACGCCGCGUGCGGGAUGACGGCCUUCGGGUUGUAAACCGCUUUCGCCUGUGACGAAGCGUGAGUGACGGUAAUGGGUAAAGAAGCACCGGCUAACUACGUG